This 405-nucleotide ribosomal RNA is filed under the name uncultured bacterium. RNAcentral describes it as "bacterial SSU rRNA". It matches the Rfam family "Bacterial small subunit ribosomal RNA", at positions 976 to 1380 of the family's 1533-position model. The record is from RNAcentral.
AGGUCUUGACAUUGAUGGACAGAACUAGAGAUAGUUCCUCUUCUUCGGAAGCCAGAAAACAGGUGGUGCACGGUUGUCGUCAGCUCGUGUCGUGAGAUGUUGGGUUAAGUCCCGCAACGAGCGCAACCCCUAUCUUAUGUUGCCAGCACUUCGGGUGGGAACUCAUGAGAGACUGCCGCAGACAAUGCGGAGGAAGGCGGGGAUGACGUCAAAUCAUCAUGCCCCUUAUGACCUGGGCUACACACGUACUACAAUGGGAGUUAAUAGACGGAAGCGAGAUCGCGAGAUGGAGCAAACCCGAGAAACACUCUCUCAGUUCGGAUCGUAGGCUGCAACUCGCCUACGUGAAGUCGGAAUCGCUAGUAAUCGCAGGUCAGCAUACUGCGGUGAAUACGUUCCCGGGCC